AGAGACAGCAGCAGCCGCGGGAAUACGUAGGGUGCAAGCGUUAAUCGGAAUUACUGGGCGUAAAGGGUACGCAGGCGGUUUUUUAAGAUGGAUGUGAAAUCCCAGGGCUUAACCUUGGAACUGCAUUCAUAACUGGAAAGCUAGAGUACGGAAGAGGGGGGUAGAAUUCCACGUGUAGCAGUGAAAUGCGUAGAGAUGUGGAGGAAUACCGAUGGCGAAGGCAGCCCCCUGGACCUGUACUGACGCUCAUGCACGAAAGCGUGGGGAGCAAACAGGAUUAGAUACCCGAGUAGUCCCUGUCUCUUAUAC
Molecule: ribosomal RNA, 309 nt
Filed under: uncultured bacterium
Lineage: Bacteria
Description: partial 16S ribosomal RNA
Rfam family: Bacterial small subunit ribosomal RNA
Source: RNAcentral